UACAGGGGGUGCAAACGUUGCUCGGAAUCAUUGGGCGUAAAGCGCACGUAGGCGGUUCGUUAUGUCGGAUGUGAAAGCCCUUGGCUUAACCGAGGAAGUGCAUCCGAAACUGGCGAGCUAGAGUACGAAAGAGGAUCGCGGAAUUCCCGGUGUAGUGGUGAAAUGCGUAGAGAUCCGGAGGAACACCAAAGGCGAAGGCAGUGUCCUGGGGAGUACCUGACGCUCAGGUGCGAAAGCCAGGGGAGCGAACGGG
Molecule: ribosomal RNA, 253 nt
Filed under: uncultured bacterium
Lineage: Bacteria
Description: partial 16S ribosomal RNA
Rfam family: Bacterial small subunit ribosomal RNA
Source: RNAcentral